UACGGGGGGAGCAAGCGUUGUUCGGAUUUACUGGGCGUAAAGGGCGCGUAGGCGGCCACAACAAGUCAGUUGUGAAAUCUCUGGGCUUAACUCAGAACGGUCAACUGAUACUGUCGGGCUAGAGUGCAGAAGGGGCAACUGGAAUUCUCGGUGUAGCGGUGAAAUGCGUAGAUAUCGAGAGGAACACCUGCGGCGAAGGCGGGUUGCUGGGCUGACACUGACGCUGAGGCGCGAAAGCUAGGGGAGCGAACGGG
Molecule: ribosomal RNA, 254 nt
Filed under: uncultured bacterium
Lineage: Bacteria
Description: partial 16S ribosomal RNA
Rfam family: Bacterial small subunit ribosomal RNA
Source: RNAcentral